CCUCUCCGUGUGUCCCAUUUUCUUCCUCCUCUAGAGUGUAUUUAUAGGCUUUGGAAUGCUUAAGAGCCCUCAAAAUUAGCCUUUUCUGAAUUGAACUCAACUUGGGCUCAGCAGGGACUCACCCGUGUGACACGCCCGUGUGCGAUUACUUCAGGCCGUGCUCGAGCCUGGCAAAUGGACACGGCCGUGUGGUCUACCCAUGUGAGGAGGUCCAGGCCGUGUUAUUUUUGCACUUUAGCCCAUUUUCUCCGUCUUUGGCCCGUUUCUCGUUCUUUUCACUCUCCUAUGCUCUCCUAAGUAUAAAACAUGAAAUAAAAG
RNAcentral lists this long non-coding RNA (318 nucleotides) under Gossypium barbadense (sea-island cotton). RNAcentral's name for it is "long non-coding RNA (GBAR_LNC001666)". Lineage: Eukaryota; Viridiplantae; Streptophyta; Magnoliopsida; Malvales; Malvaceae. The record is from RNAcentral.